Long non-coding RNA from Dermochelys coriacea (leatherback sea turtle), 5602 nucleotides. RefSeq lists it as uncharacterized. The record is from RefSeq and is a predicted model, not a curated record. The transcript is spliced from 6 exons. NCBI's taxonomy places the organism in Eukaryota, Metazoa, Chordata, Testudines, Dermochelyidae.
GGCGGGCAGCGCGUUUCAUGGAGCCCGCUGGGCAACUGAUCCGCCUCUAGUCUCCCACGAAGCGGGCCGUAGCCCGCGAAAGCUGAUGCUCAAAUAACCGUGUUAGCCUCCCAGGUGCCACAGGGCCGCCGCCGCCGCCUCCUCCUGUUCCUUUUUCCGCAGCCGCCCUGGCGCACGGGUCCUUUCUGCCUGGGUAGCGCCAGGGACGCCGCCUCACCCGCUGGGGCCGACCUCGGGUGUCCGCGGCGAGGGGUGUGAGCCUCCCGUCCCGUGAGGAAACAUGGCUCGCCGGCCCAAGCCGGGGACAGCCGCAAAACGUGCCACACGCCGGCACCAGCAGCAGCCCAGCGCGGCGGCAGUUUCAGCUGAUUCCCCGACUGCUGUUGGCUGUGGCCGUGCCCGCGCAGAGCAGGCCAGGCAUGAUUUACAAGUGCAACCUGGGAAGCAAGAGCAGGGCACAGAAAGGGCGUCAAAAAAAAACCACAAGUUUGAUGAAAGCUACGUUGACCUUGGAUUUACGAGGACUGGGGACGCUGGAUACCCUCAGCCACAGCGUGUCCUGUGCGGUGCAGCUUUACCAAACGGCACUCUUAAACCGUCCCUUCUUCGCCAGCAUCUAGAGACUAAAGACAAUCAAUUCAAAGACAAACCAGCUCAGUUUUUCAAUUGCAAAACCAGAAGCGCUAAAAAGCAACAAAAAAAUCCUGCCAUCGAAUUCUUGCGUGGAAAACGUAAAUGUACUUCGAGCUUCAUACUUCAUGAGUUACAGAGUGGCUAAAACAGGAGAACCACACGCUAUUACAGAAGAUUUCCUUAUACCUGCUGUGAAGGCCAUGGGGAAGUGCAUGCUCGGUGAAAAAGCAGGAAAAAAAAAAAAACUUGAUUCCAUACCCUUCUCCAAUGACACUGUCACACUGCAUUGCUGAUAUGGCAGAAAAUGUUCUUUCUCGGCUUGUGAAUUGGAUUAGGAACAGUGACUAUUAUUCUUUGUUUCAGAGUAGCAGCCGUGUUAGUCUGUAUUCGCAAAAAGAAAAGGAGUACUUGUGGCACCUUAGAGACUAACAAAUUAUUCUUUGCCAUUAGACAAGUCCACAGAUUUAGACAGCCUAGCUAAUCUUUUCGUUUAUGUUCGUUCUAUAUAUGAAAGUACCGUACAUGAAGACUUUCUCUUUUGUCAUUCCCUGCCUAUCCAAACAACGGGAGAAGAGAUUAUUUUUUUACUGCUUGAUAACUUCAUGAAUGAGAAUAGAAUUGGCUGGUUCCACAGUGUAGGGAUUUCUACUGAUGGGACAAAAUUAAUGAUAGGAAAGCACAGAGUGGAGUCGUGGUUCACAUCAAGGCUGUAGCAACAGAAGCCACAUGGGUGCACUGCAGCAUCCAUAGAGAGGCCCUAGCUUCCCAAAAAAUGCCUGAAAACUUAAUGUCAUUGUUGUCUGAUGCUGUCAAAAUGGUUAACUUCAUUAAGGGUCAGUGUCUAAAUUCAAGAAUUUUUGCUACCCUGUGUAAUGAAAUGGGAAAUGACCAUUUGCCACUACUAAUGCACACUGAGCUUCGCUGGCUGUCGUGUGGCAAAGUGCUGACACGACUCUGAGCUGCACAGCGAGCUUCAAUUUUUUUUUCACCAAUCACUACCCCUUUGCACUGUCAUCUUGCUUGUAAGAUGCUGCCUGGCUUCAGCGAUUAGCCUACUUGUAGACAUUUUUUCUUGCCUUAACGAGCUCAAUUUUGGCCUUCAGGGCUUAAGCACCACUAUUUUUGAAACACAAGACAAAAUCGAAUCUAUGAUUAAGAAACUACUGUUUUGGGAGAAUUGCUUAAAGAGAAAUGUGAUUGACUGCUUUCCAACAUUGCAAGAAUUUCUUGCAACAAAUUACAAUAUGCUGUUGCAUGAGAGUGUGAAAGCUGACAUUAUGGAACACUUGCAACAAUUUAGCAAACAACUUAGAAAAUAUUUCCCCAAAAUGGACAAUGAAAAUUUCUGGAUAUGCAAUCCAUUUAAGGAGCCUGAAUCUCUUCCAAUUCCUCCUCUGCCAGUGCAUGAGCAGGAGAAACUUUUAGAUCUCUCUUGUGACAGUAGGCUUAAAUUAGAAUUUGCAUGCAAACCUUUGGCAGACUUCUGGGUGCAAAGGAUGAAAGAUUACCUAUACCUGUCAAAACGAGCUUUCAAGUUUCUGAUGCCCUUCUCCACAACAUACCUUUGUGAGACUGGAUUCUCUGCCCUCGUGGCGAUCGAGACAAAGUAUCCUCAGAGAUUAAAUGCUGAAAAUGACUUGUGAGUGAAGCUCUCUCCAAUUUUCCCUGCCAUCAGUGAUUUGUGUGAUAAAAAGCAAGGACAUUCAUCACACUGAUAGGUCAGGAGAUUCGUGAAAACCGACCCCGGUCUGCAAGUGAUUUUAAUUUUGAGGAAUCGACAUUUUUAGAUAAAAUAAUGUUUCAUUGCAAAAUUCCUGACCUGCUCUGUUGGGGAGCUGACUUCUCAACUCUGAGAUCAACUGCCCUUCCAGACGAGGUCAAAUUCAGAAGAGCCAGCUGUGUGGCUGUUUGCCUUUGAGUGGUGAUAUGGAGAUCCUGCACGCAUGUCUGCUGCUGCCAGCACAGAUCCAGGGGUUGCAUAGCAGAAAGGCUCUACGAGCAAUGCUGCUGACAGCUUCUUUCUUUGAGGCUGAGAUAUAACCUCUGACAUACAGAUGUCUAGGUGGAAAAGAGAUCAGCAGGGACCUGGCACUCCACACCUGGGCAGUUCUGUUCUGUCUCACGUGGCAGGCGAGGGAUUCCCAGGACUCCAGUUCUGCGGUGUGGACGGAGAGGUGAGAGACUGUGCUGAAUGUGCCGUCUUCCUCCCUGGAAAUUCCGUAAGUGAAGGAGUCCAGAGCACUUCCAUUCUCAUUCGAAAACCAGACGACAUCUGCCAUGUCCUGGGAGAGGUCGUUCACCACACAAACCACUAGGGUCUUCCUCUCGCCGUUCACGACCAUGUGCUGGGCGACCAGUGCCUACAGCCUGGAGUCUAUGGCCCCUGCCGGCCCGUCCAAGCAGCCAGGUGCUGGAUCCUGCCCCUGCUGGAGUGUGAAACUUGUUGCUGAUCAACAAUUCUGUCCAGACAUGGGGGUGUCUUCGACAAGCACACGCAUGUGUCAUGGAGACAGUAGCUGCUCACAGAGGGACCUGCAUACAACAGCUCUGAAGAGCCACCAUCCCAUGGGAAGAAAGCUUGGGGACUCAUGAGCGGUACUUCCGGAUAGAACCUUUCUUGGAAUAUUCAUUCCUAAAUGGAUGGAAUCUAAGACUGAUUUGGGUAUUGAAACUGUAUCUUCCACAAAGGAGUAGUUCUGGCUCCACUCUGAGUAGAAAAUAUGCCAUUUCCUUAUUCACUGGAGGUGCAAGGGAAAAGCUCAAUGCACCAUCAUUCCCAGCAAAGUUAGGAGAUCCUUGAAUUCUCCAUGAUCCUUUUUACCAGGGUGACAAAAUGUCAGCCCAAGCACAGCACACGGCUGGGACACAGUGGUAAGAGACUGGGAAGCUAUGUAUGGGAUCCUGGCCCCAGGAGGGGAGUGCCAGGAACCAGGUCAGAUUGUGGCUCCAGGGAUGGAGGGAUUAGAGCUUUAGGUUAUGUCUGUAGUGGCAUGCAUACACAAGUACUGAACUGUGUAUGUGCUUGCGCAUAUUCCCCUUGCCCGUACAGUGUCUCUACGUUAUACUGUGCAGGAUGUGGGUAUAACACUGUAUACCUGUGUCCACACUGGCGCUGUUAAAUGACAGAGCUACCAUUUCAGGGAUAGUCUCCCUGAGUUCUGUGCAGACUGGGGGAGACUAGAAACCACUAUGCUGUGUGUUGGCACCGAUAUUUGCAGUUGGCAGUUCUGGACUGCAUUGCCCUUCACUGUUUCACUCAGUUCUCCUGGCUCAGUCCUUAAACCCAGUACCUUCCCUUCCAGCAGUCACUAUGCAGACACUGCAGGUGCCGCUGUUUGCUGGGCCAAUUCAGCAGUGAGCUGCAGAGCUCUAAAGUGGUGGGGUGCAGAAGGAAGCCCAUUGUACAAACAGCACAGCCAAGUACAUGGAUUUGACCUAAUUUUUCUCAGAAGGAAAGUGGCUAAGUAGCAAAAGGUAGUUCUGUUAGAAGAGAUAAUAGGAUUCUAUUCCGGACUCUACCGGAAGUUUUCCAUGUCCCAGGCCUGGGCGCUGUAGUAGGCUACACUGCCUCCCUGACGGGUAGGGAUAAGAGGCCUUGGCCAUUGAUAUGGUUUGUCAAGAGCACAAAAAUAUCAGUCAGUGGAAGGGGGAACUUGAACUCAGUCUCCUGGCUUGUUGCCCUGAGCACCCUACUUGACUCCAGGGAAUUUUAUUGGGGAAGCUUGCUCUUGCUGUCUCUGGAGACUGUGCACAGCGCUGGCCUUCUGUUUCAGGAUCCCCAGAAUUGAAUAACUUUGUAAUAAUUAGGUUUUGGAGCUUGUUCUUGGUGCCAGAUACUAGAUCUCAGAAAAGGGUCCUGGCAAUCUCAGCUCCAGAGAUACUGACCUUCCUCAGACUUUUAGGGAGGCUGCUUGGAGUAGUGGCAAAAGUACAAAACCAAAUACAGAGAGAGGGUCUAGGGUAGCGCCGUAAACAGUUGUGAUGCAUUUCAGAUUCACUUCUAUGCGUGUUACAGUAAUAAGUGGUAAUAAGAUGAAGUAACAUUUAGUAACAUCAUUAGCCAUGACCAGGUCUGACCAUGACUUUGGCCACAUCCUCACUUGUUUGCACACACUUCUGAAAUCACUUCACGUGGUUUUCUGGUGUAUCUGGCUCAUUUAGUCAGUGGCAGCCAGCUGUGUGUUCAGGCCCCAAGUAGGUGCACCAGCCUGGGAGGCGGUCCCCAUCAGGGGAUCUCACCAGUGUGACUCAGGAGCCCCACCCUGAGAGCCUCCUCCAGCUGGCCGACAAAAUAGUACACACCAUGUACAGGGCUGGGCUGCAGGCGACACUGAUCUGCACAGGGGCACCAGUGGAGAAGUCCUGAGAGGUGAUGACACACAACACACGCAGUCCUCCUGAUUUUUAAAUGUAAUUGCUUAAAUCUACAAAUUUUGCAAUGUCAUAAUUACAUUUAAACACUGGGAGGAUUAUGGAAAAUCAGGGAGGGCUGGUAUCUCUGCUGUCAGGUGGAGCCUGCCCCUAUUUAAAAAAAAAAAAAUCCACCUUUUUUGUGCAGAAUCAGAGUUAAAAAUUGUGGAAAUUUGAAAACCUAUCAUUCGGGGAAGGCAACCAGUGUUUCAGGAACCCUUUGAUCAAAUGUCCUCCAAUGUGCAGCAUAUUCUGCCCUGGGCCCUGAAUUGGCAUACGUUUCCAAGUCCAUCUAAUGAUGGACUUGGAUUUUAGAGACGUCACAAAUUUCAGCUUUAAACAGAAACCAUAUUGCAACUACAACUAAUGAUUUUUCCAUCUUUAGUUUUAUAAUAAUUGCUAGAAAUACACCAUGAACUUGCAACUGAUUAACAUUUGAAUCACUGCUCAAUAAUAUUUAUCUAAAACACCUCAUUUGUUAUUACUUAUAUUUAAAUACCACAGGGUAUUGUGCUAUUUUUCCAAAAUCUGAAUAAACUACUAUUUCUCUCAUCCGUAA